CAAUAGCGUAUAUUAACGUUGUUGCAGUUAAAAAGCUCGUAGUUGGAUUUCUGGAGGGAGCGUCGGCCCGUAUUUACGAGUGCGUGACGUCUCUGUCCAUCCUUGCGGGAAGGCACGGCAUUGAUUUGUUGUGUCGGAUCGCAUCAUUUACUGUGAAAAAAUUAGAGUGUUCAAAGCAGGCUUUCGCUUGAAUACAUUAGCAUGGAAUAAUAAGAUAGGACUUUGGUGCUAUUUUGUUGGUUGAGCCUAAAGUAAUGAUUAAUAGGGAUAGUUGGGGGCACCUGUAUUGCGUUGUCAGAGGUGAAAUUCUUGGAUUUACGCAAGACAAACUGCUGCGAAAGCGUCUGCCAAGGAUGUUUUCAUUAA
This 366-nucleotide ribosomal RNA is filed under the name uncultured eukaryote. RNAcentral describes it as "partial 18S ribosomal RNA". It matches the Rfam family "Eukaryotic small subunit ribosomal RNA", at positions 592 to 976 of the family's 1831-position model. The record is from RNAcentral.